AGGAAUUUCUAGACUGAAUCGAGUGGACCGUCUGCGUGGUUGUUGAAAGUUGACUGAGUUUAGCAAAAAAAUGAAUCAAGGCAUCAAGAGAAAGAGAGAAAUCUCAGAGAUCACUGUGGGCUGACGGUGAAGAAUGCUGCAAACUGACUGAUUUGCUUUUAAAAUCAAGUGCAGCGUCAGUUAGCACUAGCGCUAAUACUGCUAGCAUUGAUGAGCCAGCACAGCAGGGAGAAAGACAGGACAGUGAGGAAUAUGAGCAAGAGGAGGAUGAGGAGGUAGACAUGGAUAACUGCGUGACGAUCGACUUGAUCAAAUGCCAUAUCACAAGAGUUGGCACCAACUCUAUCCGUGACAGCAACCAUGAAGUAACCACCAUUGUGGGAACAGACAAAACGGACGCCAUUAAGAUUCAGGAAACCUCCACACAGGCACUAUCUGCUUUGCCCAGUGUGUCUUAAAACACAAGAAAGUCUGUCAUGCCAUCUGCUCAGAGUCUGCAAGAAAACCUCCAGCCGAGCAGAUAUUGAAGCCCUGGUUGAAAAGGCCAAGAAAGAUGUUUUGGACCUGCUUCAGAAUGGCAGGGCCUUUAGUUAUGCAGUCCUUACACAAAUUAUGGCUGAUACGAAUCCACUCAAGAGGUUGGUGGCUUUUUGUUUACUCUUUACUCUGUCUUAUUCCCUUAUGUGUAGAUAUUCUAAAAUGUCUUGUUUUCCUCAUUGAAAGCUUGAUUGAGGAGUUAAACCGUCACCACUUGAUCGUCACCGGAUCCCCGCCCCCUCUGCCCACUGAAGCUGGCCCAUCCACCACACAGCCACCAGAGACUGGAGACCAGGGAGAGCCGUCGGGAGAGUGUGAGCCGUCUGACGCUGCAUCUGUCAGCAGUGGCGAGUUAUUUCAAUGUGACCAAGAUGUAAAUUACUCCAACAAGGUCAGGCAGAAAAUGUCAGAGAAGGGCCUGUAUAACAAGCACGACGUGAGCGAUCCACUGCUGAAUGACUUUGCCAAAUACUUGCAGACAGAGCUCCUCAAAGUUUCAAACAGGAGGUUGAAAAUGUUGCACAGUACCUCCAUUAUGCAGACUCAAAGGCACCAUCCCUUCAGUUUGUCAAUGACAGAGAGAAGCUCCAAGAGUACCUGCAUGCCCUCUCUGAGGCAAAAUUGA
Molecule: long non-coding RNA, 1162 nt
Organism: Sparus aurata (gilthead seabream)
Lineage: Eukaryota; Metazoa; Chordata; Actinopteri; Spariformes; Sparidae
Source: Ensembl